RNAcentral lists this ribosomal RNA (549 nucleotides) under Brachybacterium sp. sed151. RNAcentral's name for it is "bacterial SSU rRNA". It matches the Rfam family "Bacterial small subunit ribosomal RNA", at positions 81 to 645 of the family's 1533-position model. The record is from RNAcentral. Lineage: Bacteria; Bacillati; Actinomycetota; Actinomycetes; Micrococcales; Dermabacteraceae.
CACCACCUGAUUAGUGGCGAACGGGUGAGUAACACGUGAGUAACCUGCCCCUCACUUCGGGAUAACCUCGGGAAAUCGUGGCUAAUACCGGAUAUGAGCUCCUGCCGCAUGGUGGGGGUUGGAAAGAUUUAUCGGUGAGGGAUGGACUCGCGGCCUAUCAGUUUGUUGGUGAGGUAAUGGCUCACCAAGACGAUGACGGGUAGCCGGCCUGAGAGGGCGACCGGCCACACUGGGACUGAGACACGGCCCAGACUCCUACGGGAGGCAGCAGUGGGGAAUAUUGCACAAUGGGCGAAAGCCUGAUGCAGCGACGCCGCGUGGGGGAUGACGGCCUUCGGGUUGUAAACCCCUUUCAGUAGGGAAGAAGCGAAAGUGACGGUACCUGCAGAAGAAGCGCCGGCUAACUACGUGCCAGCAGCCGCGGUAAUACGUAGGGCGCAAGCGUUGUCCGGAAUUAUUGGGCGUAAAGAGCUCGUAGGUGGCUUGUCGCGUCUGCCGUGAAAACCCGAGGCUCAACCUCGGGCGUGCGGUGGGUACGGGCAGGCUAGA